Molecule: ribosomal RNA, 152 nt
Filed under: soil bacterium PP-P1-19
Lineage: Bacteria
Description: partial 16S ribosomal RNA
Rfam family: Bacterial small subunit ribosomal RNA
Source: RNAcentral
UGAGGAAUAUUGGACAAUGGGUGAGAGCCUGAUCCAGCCAUCCCGCGUGAAGGACGACGGCCCUAUGGGUUGUAAACUUCUUUUGUAUAGGGAUAAACCUACUCUCGUGAGAGUAGCUGAAGGUACUAUACGAAUAAGCACCGGCAAUCUCG